UAGGGAAUAUUGGACAAUGGGUGAGAGCCUGAUCCAGCCAUGCCGCGUGCAGGAAGAAGGCGUUAUGCGUUGUAAAACUGCUUUUGCCAGGGGAUAAAAUGAGCGUGCGCGCUUAAUUGAAGGUACCUGGUGAAUAAGCCCCGGCAAACUUCGUGCCAGCAGCCGCGGUAAUACGAAGGGGGCUAGCGUUGUUCGGAAUUACUGGGCGUAAAGCGCACGUAGGCGGAUUGUUAAGUCAGAGGUGAAAUCCCGGAGCUCAACUUCGGAACUGCCUUUGAUACUGGCAAUCUAGAGUCCGGAAGAGGUUAGUGGAAUUCCCAGUGUAGAGGUGAAAUUCGUAGAUAUUGGGAAGAACACCAGUGGCGAAGGCGGCUAACUGGUCCGGUACUGACGCUGAGGUGCGAAAGCGUGGGGAGCAAACAGGAUUAGAUACCCCAGUAGUCCCUGAGCGGGCUGGCAAGGCGCAU
RNAcentral lists this ribosomal RNA (467 nucleotides) under uncultured bacterium. Its description in RNAcentral is "bacterial SSU rRNA". It matches the Rfam family "Bacterial small subunit ribosomal RNA", at positions 355 to 825 of the family's 1533-position model. The record is from RNAcentral.